CACGUUGAUGAUCCAACCUCAGCGUAUUCUUUGCUUAUCGCUGAGGUGCGACAUUCCGUGUA
Molecule: microRNA precursor, 62 nt
Filed under: Panagrellus redivivus
Lineage: Eukaryota; Metazoa; Nematoda; Chromadorea; Rhabditida; Panagrolaimidae
Description: microRNA prd-mir-7966b precursor
Source: miRBase by way of RNAcentral